GACGAACCACACGAACGUUAUUCGGAAUUACUGGGCUUAAAGGGUGCGUAGGCGGCGUAGUAAGUUGGGUGUGAAAUCCCUCGGCUCAACCGAGGAACUGCGCCCAAAACUACUAUGCUUGAGGAAGAUAGAGGUAAGCGGAACUUACGGUGGAGCGGUGAAAUGCGUUGAUAUCGUAAGGAACACCUGUGGCGAAAGCGGCUUACUGGGUCUUUUCUGACGCUGAUGCACGAAAGCCAGGGGAGCAAACGGG
Molecule: ribosomal RNA, 253 nt
Filed under: uncultured bacterium
Lineage: Bacteria
Description: partial 16S ribosomal RNA
Rfam family: Bacterial small subunit ribosomal RNA
Source: RNAcentral